This 238-nucleotide ribosomal RNA is filed under the name Clostridioides difficile. RNAcentral describes it as "partial 23S ribosomal RNA". It matches the Rfam family "Bacterial large subunit ribosomal RNA", at positions 2570 to 2810 of the family's 2925-position model. Lineage: Bacteria; Bacillati; Bacillota; Clostridia; Peptostreptococcales; Peptostreptococcaceae. The record is from RNAcentral.
GGGUGGGCUGGCGCAUUCAGUGGGUCGGCGAGGAGGCGUAAGGAGGGCGCGGGGCAGUGCGGGCACUGUGCGUCGCAGGCGGGGGAGAUUUGAGAAGCCGUGGCCUUAGUACGGGAGGACCGGGAUGGACGUACCUCUGGUGUACCAGUUGGCCUGCCAAGGGCAUGGCUGGGUAGCUAUGUACGGAAUGGAUAAGCGCUGAAAGCAUCUAAGCGCGAAGCCAACUUCAAGAUAAGAU